AGGAGGGCACAUCAACCCGGCUGUGACUUUCGGGCUGUUCUUGGCCAGGAAGCUGUCCCUGACUAGGGCCAUCUUCUACAUAAUCAUGCAAUGCCUGGGUGCCAUCUGUGGAGCUGGAGUGGUGAAGGGCUUCCAGCAGGGACUUUACAUGGGCAAUGGCGGUGGUGCCAACGUCGUCGCCCCCGGCUACACCAAGGGAUCAGGGCUUGGUGCUGAGAUUGUUGGCACCUUCGUCCUGGUCUACACCGUGUUCUCAGCCACUGACGCCAAGAGGAACGCCAGGGACUCCCAUGUUCCU
This 298-nucleotide long non-coding RNA is filed under the name Setaria viridis. RNAcentral describes it as "long non-coding RNA (SVIR_LNC001049)". Lineage: Eukaryota; Viridiplantae; Streptophyta; Magnoliopsida; Poales; Poaceae. The record is from RNAcentral.